AUGGGUGCUAUUAACGACAGGGUUCACCUUUAUUCCAUUUCGAACAAAGAAGUUAAGACUGUUAGUGCCGAUGAUACUACGGUAAAACGCGGGAAAGUAGGUAAGUGCCCAUU
This 113-nucleotide ribosomal RNA is filed under the name Bacteroides sp. The record is from RNAcentral. Lineage: Bacteria; Pseudomonadati; Bacteroidota; Bacteroidia; Bacteroidales; Bacteroidaceae.